Molecule: ribosomal RNA, 5450 nt
Filed under: Triticum aestivum (bread wheat)
Lineage: Eukaryota; Viridiplantae; Streptophyta; Magnoliopsida; Poales; Poaceae
Description: partial small subunit ribosomal RNA
Source: RNAcentral
GAGCAAAGACCGUAGAUAGCUGACCCACUUUGCAGCGCGUCCACGCUUUCCUAAAACCGGUUAGGAGAGGAGCGCGCGCCGCACGAAGCUCACCCAACACCUUGGGAUCUGGGGAAAGGGGUUAGGGUGCCGGCGGAGGUAGGAGGGCACGAGGUGGGGCUCGCACGGGCCCGAGGCGGAGGAGGAGGUGGUAUGGAAGAGAAGAGUGAGAAGGAGGACAGCGUCGGCGGAGGAGAAGAGGGAUAGAAGGAGGAGGAGCGGGGUGCGCUGGGGAGAACACGGCGAGCAAGGUGAAGCAACGGCGGUAUCUAGCUCCUCCUGCCGCGCUACUGCUGGUACUACGUAGCCUGUAGGGUCUAGCUGCGGCGGUACCUUCGGUACUCUCGACCGGCUCCUUCUCCCCCGUCCCGGCGUCCGGUACUUCCCGUACCGCCGACGCCCGCCUUCGUCGUACCCAACUUCCUCGCCGCCUACACCCGCCCCAGUCUCCACCCCUUCUGAGCAGCCGACCCGUUGUCGUUCGCGGCCAAGAUGCUAGACAACGUAGAGAAAAGAAGAGCAAUUCCUCUCCCCUCCGCCGGUUACUGUCCCUCUUCCUCGUCCGGCAGCUCCUCACGUUCGUCUUCCCCGUAUAACAAAACCAAUAGUCACCAACCUCUAUAACACCGAACUACAGGGACCUCGUCAGUCUGGGAAGGUUCUAUCCAGCUCGCUGCCGCUCGUGUAGGCUGCCGUUGUGUGGGCAAGAAAGAGAGGGGUACGGCGGAGGAGGGAAGCCGGGACUAAGUAGCCGCGCACGUCCGUGGAAAGGAAGAAACUGAAGAGGGGAGAAAAAACAUUUUCGUUUUUUCUUCGUCCUCGUUUUCCUUUCACUCGUGGUAUCUUUCCUACUAAUAUUCGUUCGCUGUUCUUGUUCGGUUACCCGUACCCUAAAAGUUCGCUGUUCUUGUUCGGUUACCCGUACCGUAAAAUACUUUUUACUCGUCUCUCUGGUCCGCACCCUGAUCACGAACCAUCGUCGUCGCUAAGGAAGUCCGUAAAGCUAAGGUCAUUGGUGUUCAAGAUCCCUUCUACAUACAAAGGAUGAUUUCCCAAACUCAAACUCUCCGUGUCUUCUUCAAUGUUCACAACGUCGAAUAAACCGAAAUAUCACUGUACAUAGCUGUUUGCUAACAAUAUAAGUCAUACGAUCCCACACAGGAUAAAUAGUACGUCUAAGACAUAAUCCACGAGCUAUCUCCAUUGUUUUCGAUUGUCUCUAGUCUUAUAUAAAAAUGAAUAUAAAAACAGAAAGAAAAUCAAGACACAUCAGAAAUAAAUGGUACAUUACUAAUCAAACUUACGAAUAUCACCACUAAGAAAGGGAUAUUUAAACAACCCAUCUAAUAUUAAGGCAAUGAACUAAAUCCUAUCAUAUACCAAGAUACUAUGUCCUAAAUCUCCUUGUAUAUACCCUAAAUCAAAAAGUCCAGUGUGGACAGGGUAUAAGAAAAUGAAAGGGAUAACUAAAAUCGAACGUUAACUCAUUCUACGUCCAACCCUUAAGAGGGAACACACAGUCUUAGACUUCAUAAACUGGUAAACCCAAGUGAAGAUAGUACAAAACAUAGGAAGGAGAUAAAAUUCUAAAUGCUCCGUGUACGUCCAAUCAACAACAAAGUUUGUACAGUUACUUUCCAUUAUUACAAUUUUAACCAAGGGGUUCCCGGUUCCACCACUACUAAUGAAACACGAAGAAAAGGAUGAACAAGAUUUUUACUAGGAAGACCCACUACAACUAAAUCCAAAAACACCAGCACAGUAUGUGGUUAAUGGCAGCUCUACCCAUUACCAUACCCUUACCCGAGGUUCCUACACUUUUACCAGACCUUCUGUCUCAAUCGUCGCUGUACACAGGAGUUCAUUAAAGAACGGUUUCCACUACACUUCCAAUCGAUGACACUAGUUCCUUUAUUGUACAUAGACACACCAAACAAGGACGACAACUAGCCAGCAACGACGUAAAUUCCAUACAACACGGGCCACGAUGAAUUACGAUAUAUUUUGGAUAUCGACAUGUAUUUUGCGGAACUAUACGUUUAUUGGGUCAAUUUUAUUUACCCAACGCGGUAGAUCGUAAUGUACUGCUGUACGGUUUGUGAAACGGUGGAUCCUAUCAGAUAUAAACAUAAAGUAAGUCAAUAGAGUAUAAAGGUCAUUUUUUUUGAGAAGCGAAACCCCAAAACCUUAUUAGAAGUCCUUCAACCACUGUUCAAUCAUCUUGAAUAUCUUUACGGCGAAAGUAAUCUGUUACUGUACGGUUUCUGCGGUGACGGAUUCCAUCAGAAACCUGAAUUCGAUACAUGUUAUUGUUCUAAACAGCGAAGUCAAAAAUCUUAUUAGUAACUAUUCAACCAAUUCUUAAUCUCGAUUUCAAUGUGUACUCAUCAUAAACAACAUGUUUGUAGGUCAAUUAAGAACUCUAUGUUAUCUCUGUGAUAUAAUCAUGAUGAAAUCAGUUUAUGUAACAGGUGACCAACAACAUCACUUUACAGCGAGAUCGAUAAUUAAAUGUCUUAACAUCUUUUAUCGGGGAUGCCUUAAUGUUUCUCGCUCUUAUUCCUUCGACCGUUUGAAUCACGAGGUACCAUAAAGUCAUCUUUCCUUUAUCUUCUCUUAAGAGGUAGAUUCUCCCUACUGUAACUAAAUUUCUUUCUCUGAACGGAAGCCUUUAGCAUAAACGUGAAUAGAUGUUCUAAACCCCUACGCCGAGUUUCACAUUCUAUAAAAUACAGGAAGAUACGUAAAUAGCUAUGACAUCGGACAACCGACUGACAGGGAAUGAAUAGGUUUUUGUAACUCAAGACGAUGAAUGGGUUGGUCUACAAUUUAUAAAGUUUUACGCAGAAAUAUAACAGUAACAUAGCAUUAACGAAGAGGACUACACAAAAACAAAAUGUGGUCGUAUAUAAACCAGGUCUCUAUAAGUUAACAAACAGACUAUUCUAUUAUAAAAUGAAGAAAUACGUCGUGAGAAUACCGUUCGUGUAAAAAAGACCUACUUGACGACCAACCAAAAAAAGAGGUAUUUAUGCUAUUUAAUAGUAUAGUAUACUUUACAAUUCUAUAUGACUUUUAUACGGGACAUACUACCACCAGACCGUAAAAUCUUAACAAAACCCGUUAAGUACAAACAUACGUAAAAAAGAAAACCGGGAACUUCCGUAGAAAUUAUCAAACGUUAACGCUAUCUUUAACGACACGAGCAUAGAAAUCAAAAAUAAUGUUAACCAGCUCGAUGUUGCUCACGCAGACUAAGGUUGAGUAGUUCCGCUCGAGGGAGAAAAUAAGAAGAGUCCAUUACUCCGCAGUCACAUCCGGGUUAGAAAAACAAACAACGAAACUUCUCACAACAGUACAACACCUUUCCGUUGUACACGAACUAUACACCUCAACCACAACUCGGACCGCCAUCAUCUGUCCCUUCCGUGGGUAGAGUGAAAUAGAACUCUCAACUAAGUAUAGAAAAAAGAACUGGACUAACUCAAGGAAUAUACGUUCCUAUUUCUUCUUCCCCGUAACAGCACCAACAACGAAUUCCACAACCAGUCCUCGACUAACGGCCCUGACUACUGUUCUUGCCUCUCGUCCUACUCAUACAGUUGUACUACAAGGAACUACAACCGGAAGAAAAUAUUUCAAGUGUACGUUGAGAGGAGGUACCAAUCUUUAUUGAUUAAAUUUGCAAAACAAAGAAACCACCAAUGAGUAAAGAGAAUGGCAACAACAUAGUUUUGUUAAACAUAAAAGCAACUACCGGUGAACCCGAGUAAAAGCUCCUCUUACUCUACACCUUAUUUGAUGAGAUUUUACCAACCAAGGGAAUUCUGUUAAAUAAUCGUUGAUUAAAACCGACGACCACGUGUACUAUGUUAACACGAGACAACAACGGUAGAACGUAAAAUACACUCGAAUUUGUCUGUUAGUUAAUUUGAAAAUGAUUCAAGAAUGGCAUACAUAAACGAGUUUGUGUCAAUGACUUUUUUAAGUUUAUAAAAAUCGUUCAUGUACCAAAAUUUACCCUGAGCCACGGUAAAUCGCGCUACCCGUCACAAUAUCUUUAUAUUAAAAAACCACGUUGUCAAUAUGUGAGAAAAAAGUUUGAACCUAAAGUGUUAGACUAUCUGUAAAAGUUUUCUCAUACCAAAUUAUAUACCCAAAAGAUGUUGUUCAUGACUUAUACAGGAACGUUUUCUUUGAUAAAAGUAGGUGUUGUACCGACUCCUUUACGGAGACAGUGGAUUGACUCCUUGGCUCUUUCUUUCCUUUCCCUAUCUGUAAGAGACGACCUAGGCAGGUGACGACGAAGUAUAAGUUGAGCCAGGUGUCCGUAGCGAGAUACACCCAACCCGAUUUAUUGUAUACUAGAUAGGAUUAUGGAGGAGUAGGGAUAUAGAUACAUACAAGUGUUGUUUCUGUACAAAAAAAGGAAUCCAAAGAAUAGGAAAAGGAAGAAAAAAAGUCCAUACCUGAUAGUAUUAUGGAAGGUUAGGGAUAUAGAAGCAUAUACGUGUUGUUUCUGUACAAAAAAAGGAUCCAAAGAAUAGAAAAAGGAAGAAAAAAACGUCCUUUUUCUACGUGCCAAUCCAAAGAGUAGUACUAUUGGUACAAAAGUUUGAACGAUUUUUUUAUGUUGGUACGGUUGAAAUGAGAGAGUAGUAUCACCAGUAUAAAAGUUUGACUUGUAUAAGUAUAAUACGUUUCAAAAGGAAAAGGAUCUGAUAAUAAAUUGUUGCAUUAUUUGUACAAAUUUUUAUCGUACUAAAUCAACUUCCAAGAACGUCGUACUUUGAUAAAAGUAGCUGUUGUACAGAAGUCGUCCAGAGACGCGGUAAACCGCCUUGCCCAGUUGAUCAAAAAUAUAUCUCCGUCGUUGUGUACCUCUUUUAGUAUUGGUUAACCACCACAUUAUUUGUAGCCCUAAAAGAGUCAAGAGUACUGUAAGCAAACUCCUGUUAUUGCUACCUUCCAAUACGUAGGUUAGUCCGUUUGUCUCUGAAGCAGUGUAAGAAGGAUAAAUUACGCUCCAAUGAUAACAAGUACCCCGAAUUCAAAAAGUUGUUCUUUAAAGAGUGUCUACCUAUACAACCUGUCGUUUUUUUCUUCUAAGCCCAGCUGUUUACCCGAAUACUUGCACGAGCCGAAGAUAAAUGUUGUUGAACAGCAAUAUACGCUCAUUUGAAAAACCGUAUCCUACAACUAAAAUACCUAGUCUGGCUGGGUAAAUAAACACUGACGGUUUUUAUCACCAACCCAAUCUACAAUAACGGUACGCACAAGUCAGACCUAAAACAGAUUUGGACUACUUGUUAAUUAGGAACCCGAAAACAUGACAAAUAUUCGAACUCAAUCUAUAACAACGGGAAAAGUUGAACCGACGCUGACAGUAUAAAAUAAACUUUGUUCCGUUU